Molecule: ribosomal RNA, 596 nt
Filed under: uncultured Alphaproteobacteria bacterium
Lineage: Bacteria; Pseudomonadati; Pseudomonadota; Alphaproteobacteria
Description: bacterial SSU rRNA
Rfam family: Bacterial small subunit ribosomal RNA
Source: RNAcentral
AGAGUUUGAUCAUGGCUCAGAACGAACGCUGGCGGCAGGCUUAACACAUGCAAGUCGAACGCCCUGUUUACAGGGAGUGGCAGACGGGUGAGUAACGCGUGGGAAUUUACCGAGUAGUGUGGAAUAACUCAGAGAAAUUUGAGCUAAUACCGCAUACGCCCUUCGGGGGAAAGAUUUAUCGCUAUUCGAUAGGCCCGCGUUAGAUUAGCUAGUUGGUGGGGUAAUGGCCUACCAAGGCGACGAUCUAUAGCUGGUCUGAGAGGAUGAUCAGCCACACUGGGACUGAGACACGGCCCAGACUCCUACGGGAGGCAGCAGUGAGGAAUAUUGGACAAUGGGGGCAACCCUGAUCCAGCCAUGCCGCGUGAGUGAUGACGGCCUUAGGGUUGUAAAGCUCUUUCGCUAGGGAAGAUAAUGACGGUACCUAGUAAAGAAGCCCCGGCUAACUUCGUGCCAGCAGCCGCGGUAAUACGAAGGGGGCUAGCGUUGUUCGGAAUCACUGGGCGUAAAGCGCACGUAGGCGGAUCUUUAAGUCAGGGGUGAAAUCCCAGAGCUCAACUCUGGAACUGCCUUUGAUACUGGGGAUCUUGAGUCCG